AUGGACACCGGCGAGCCCAAGGCCAAGGCCGCCAAGGUGUGCCGCGCGUGCGGCGACGAUGUCGGGACGCGGGAGGACGGCAGCCCGUUCGUGGCGUGCGCCGAGUGCGGGUUCCCCGUGUGCCGGCCGUGCUACGAGUACGAGCGCAGCGACGGCACGCAGUGCUGCCCCCAGUGCAACACCCGCUACAAGCGCCACAAAGGUUGCCCGAGGGUGGAAGGGGACGAAGAGGACGGCGACAUGGACGACUUAGAAGACGAGUUUCAGGUUAAGAGCCCCAAGAAGCCUCACGAGCCUGUCCCGUUCGACGUCUACUCGGAGAACGGCGAGCAGCCGCCGCAGAAGUGGCGCUCUGGUGGCCCGGCGAUGUCCUCCUUCGGCGGAAGCGUGGCUGGCAAGGAGCUUGAGGCGGAGCGGGAGAUGGAGGGGAGCAUGGAGUGGAAGGAGAGGAUCGACAAGUGGAAGACCAAGCAGGAGAAGAGGGGCAAGCUCAACCGCGACAACAGCGACGACGACGACGACGACAAGAACGACGACGAGUACAUGCUGCUGGCGGAGGCGCGUCAGCCGCUGUGGCGCAAGCUGCCGGUGCCGUCGAGCCAGAUCAACCCGUACCGCAUCGUCAUCGUGCUCCGCCUGGUGGUGCUCUGCUUCUUCCUCCGCUUCCGGAUCAUGACGCCGGCCAACGACGCCAUCCCGCUGUGGCUGGUGUCCGUCAUCUGCGAGCUCUGGUUCGCGCUCUCCUGGAUCCUGGACCAGCUGCCCAAGUGGUCGCCGGUGACCCGGGAGACGUACCUGGACCGGCUGGCCCUCCGGUACGACCGCGAGGGCGAGCCGUCCCGGCUGUCCCCCAUCGACUUCUUCGUGAGCACGGUGGACCCGCUCAAGGAGCCCCCCAUCAUCACGGCCAACACCGUGCUCUCCAUCCUCGCCGUGGACUACCCCGUGGACCGCAACAGCUGCUACGUCUCCGACGACGGCGCCUCCAUGCUCUGCUUCGACACCCUCUCCGAGACGGCCGAGUUCGCGCGCCGCUGGGUGCCCUUCUGCAAGAAGUUCGCCAUCGAGCCCCGCGCCCCCGAGUUCUACUUCUCCCAGAAGAUCGACUACCUCAAGGACAAGGUGCAGCCGACGUUCGUCAAGGAGCGCCGCGCCAUGAAGCGCGAGUACGAGGAGUUCAAGGUGCGGAUCAACGGCCUGGUGGCCAAGGCCGAGAAGAAGCCCGAGGAAGGGUGGGUGAUGCAGGACGGCACGCCCUGGCCCGGGAACAACACCAGGGACCACCCCGGGAUGAUCCAGGUGUACCUGGGCAGCCAGGGCGCGCUGGACGUGGAGGGCCACGAGCUGCCCCGGCUGGUCUACGUGUCCCGUGAGAAGCGGCCCGGCCACAACCACCACAAGAAGGCCGGCGCCAUGAACGCGCUGGUGCGGGUGUCGGCGGUGCUCACCAACGCGCCCUUCAUCCUCAACCUCGACUGCGACCACUACGUGAACAACAGCAAGGCCGUCCGCGAGGCCAUGUGCUUCCUCAUGGACCCGCAGCUCGGCAAGAAGCUCUGCUACGUCCAGUUCCCGCAGCGCUUCGACGGCAUCGACCUCCACGACCGUUACGCCAACCGCAACGUCGUCUUCUUCGACAUCAACAUGAAGGGGCUGGACGGCAUACAGGGCCCGGUGUACGUUGGCACGGGGUGCGUGUUCAACAGGCAGGCGCUGUACGGGUACGACCCGCCGCGGCCGGAGAAGAGGCCGAAGAUGACGUGCGACUGCUGGCCGUCGUGGUGCUGCUGCUGCUGCUGCUUCGGCGGAGGGAAGCACCGCAAGUCAAACAAGGAGAAGAAGGGCGGCGGCGGCGACGACGAGCCGCGGCGCGGGCUCCUGGGGUUCUACAAGAAGCGGGGCAAGAAGGACAAGCUCGGCGGCGGGCCGAAGAAGGGGUCGUACAGGAAGCAGCAGCGCGGGUACGAGCUGGAGGAGAUCGAGGAGGGCAUCGAGGGGUACGACGAGCUGGAGCGCUCGUCGCUCAUGUCGCAGAAGAGCUUCCAGAAGCGGUUCGGGCAGUCGCCGGUGUUCAUCGCCUCCACGCUCGUCGAGGACGGCGGAUUGCCGCAGGGCGCCGCCGCCGACCCCGCCGGCCUCAUCAAGGAGGCCAUCCACGUCAUCAGCUGCGGGUACGAGGAGAAGACCGAGUGGGGCAAAGAGAUUGGGUGGAUCUACGGGUCGGUGACAGAGGACAUCCUGACGGGGUUCAAGAUGCACUGCCGUGGGUGGAAGUCUGUCUACUGCACGCCCACGCGGCCAGCGUUCAAGGGAUCGGCGCCCAUCAACUUGUCGGACAGGCUUCACCAGGUGCUCCGGUGGGCGCUCGGCUCCGUCGAGAUCUUCAUGAGUCGCCACUGCCCGCUCUGGUACGCCUACGGCGGCCGUCUCAAGUGGCUCGAGCGCUUCGCCUACACCAACACCAUCGUCUACCCCUUCACCUCCAUUCCCCUCAUUGCCUACUGCACCAUCCCCGCCGUCUGCCUCCUCACCGGCAAGUUCAUCAUCCCCACGCUCAACAACCUGGCGAGCAUCUGGUUCAUCGCCCUGUUCAUGUCCAUCAUCGCGACGGGGGUGCUGGAGCUCCGGUGGAGCGGGGUGAGCAUCGAGGACUGGUGGCGUAACGAGCAGUUCUGGGUCAUCGGCGGCGUGUCGGCGCACCUGUUCGCCGUCUUCCAGGGCUUCCUCAAGGUGCUGGGCGGCGUGGACACCAACUUCACCGUCACCUCCAAGGCGGGCGCCGACGAGGCCGACGCCUUCGGCGACCUCUACCUCUUCAAGUGGACAACCCUGCUGAUCCCACCCACCACGCUCAUCAUCAUCAACAUGGUCGGCAUCGUCGCCGGCGUCUCCGACGCCGUCAACAACGGGUACGGGUCCUGGGGCCCGCUCUUUGGGAAGCUCUUCUUCUCCUUCUGGGUCAUCGUCCACCUCUACCCGUUCCUCAAGGGGCUCAUGGGGAGGCAGAACCGGACACCCACCAUCGUUGUGCUCUGGUCUGUCCUGCUCGCCUCCAUCUUCUCCCUUGUGUGGGUCAGGAUCGACCCCUUCAUUGCCAAGCCCAAGGGACCCAUCCUUAAGCCGUGUGGAGUACAGUGCUGA
RNAcentral lists this ribosomal RNA (3141 nucleotides) under Triticum aestivum (bread wheat). RNAcentral describes it as "partial small subunit ribosomal RNA". The record is from RNAcentral. Lineage: Eukaryota; Viridiplantae; Streptophyta; Magnoliopsida; Poales; Poaceae.